RNAcentral lists this transfer RNA (72 nucleotides) under Microcaldota archaeon. Its description in RNAcentral is "Candidatus Micrarchaeota archaeon (hot springs metagenome) tRNA-Ala". It matches the Rfam family "tRNA". Rfam says of the family: Transfer RNA (tRNA) molecules are approximately 80 nucleotides in length. Their secondary structure includes four short double-helical elements and three loops (D, anti-codon, and T loops). Lineage: Archaea; Nanobdellati; Microcaldota. The record is from RNAcentral.
GGGCUAGUAGAUCAACGGUAGAUCGCCUUCUUGGCGUGGAGGAGGCUGGGGGUUCAAAUCCCUCCUAGUCCA